UACGAAGGGGGCUAGCGUUGUUCGGAAUUACUGGGCGUAAAGGGCGCGUAGGCGGUGCCUCAAGUCAGGCGUGAAAGCCCGGAGCUCAACUCCGGAACUGCCUUUAAGACUGCAUCGCUAGAACGUUGGAGAGGUAAGUGGAAUUCCGAGUGUAGAGGUGAAAUUCGUAGAUAUUCGGAAGAACACCAGUGGCGAAGGCGACUUACUGGACAACUGUUGACGCUGAGGUGCGAAAGCGUGGGGAGCAAACAGG
This 253-nucleotide ribosomal RNA is filed under the name uncultured prokaryote. Its description in RNAcentral is "partial 16S ribosomal RNA". It matches the Rfam family "Bacterial small subunit ribosomal RNA", at positions 524 to 776 of the family's 1533-position model. The record is from RNAcentral.